ACUCAAAGGAAUAGACGGGCACCCGCACAAGCGGUGGAGCAUGCUGUUUAAUUCGAAGAUACGCGAAAAACCUUACCUGGGCUUGACAUCCCAUUGACCGUUCUAGAGAUAGGACUUUUCCUUCGGGGACAAUGGUGACAGGUGGUGCAUGGUUGUCGUCAGCUCGUGUCGUGAGAUGUUCGGUUAAGUCCGAUAACGAGCGCAACCCUUACCCUUAAUUGCUAACAUUUAGUUGAGAACCUUAAGGGGACUACCGGCGAUAAGUCGGGGGAAGAUGGGGAUGAGGUCAAAUCAUCAUGCCCCUUACGUCCAGGGCUACAGGCGUGCUACAAUGGCUGAUAUAAAAAGAUGCAAGAUCGCGAGAUGGAGCAAAUCUCUAAAGUCAGUCCCAGUUCGGAUUGGAGUCUGCAACUCGACUCCAUGAAGUUGGAAUCGCUAGUAAUCGUGAAUCAGAACGUCACGGUGAAUACGUUCCCGGGUGUUGUACACACCGCCCGU
This 498-nucleotide ribosomal RNA is filed under the name uncultured bacterium. Its description in RNAcentral is "bacterial SSU rRNA". It matches the Rfam family "Bacterial small subunit ribosomal RNA", at positions 899 to 1397 of the family's 1533-position model. The record is from RNAcentral.